CAGAGUGAAGUUAGGGUUUUUCAAAAUUUUGACACGCCGAGCUCAAAAGGUUCGCCAUCGCCGGGCGAAGCGGAAGGAGGUACUGCAACUGCGGCGCUCCGCCAGGAGGUGAGGCUCCCGCGCUGUCUGCCUGCUGGCGCCCCCAUCACUGCGUUUCACUUAAUCUUCACAGUAACUGUUCCCUCCUAGAGUCUAAGGUUCAGUAACUGAAGGGUAACGAGCUGUGCGCUUCUCCUGCAGCUUCUACGGAAGGAAGCCGGGAAGAGCCGGGAAGAGCCGGGAAGAGCCGGGAAGAGCCGGGAAGAGCCGGGAAGAGCCGGGCGGUCUCACAGGCCUGGCGGGGCGGCAGAACACUGUCCAUACCCUUGAGCAAGGGGUUCAGUCUGAGCUCUGGCCUCCAACGUCGGCUGCCAUCCUCACCGUCUUCGCACACUGCUGCCAGCAGGGUGGCUCAGCUGUGCUCCCCACACACAGUCCUCCACACAGCAAGCAUGUCAAACUCAAAGGCUAACACAGGCCAAAUAAACAAGAAAGGACAUUCUAACCUGGCUGGGAGUUGAACGCCCCCAGGACCUGGAAGCCAACCUUUGAAUGCGGUCCAUUCUCAUUCAAGAACUGCCUAUUAACAUGGAAAGAUGAACAACCUUGUUGCCCAAACAAUGCAGUUCCACCCCAACCUGCAUAGCCCCAUGCCUGUAACCCAUACUUCCCCAUGUAAUCUCCCUCCCACCCUAUAUAAGCAGCUGGUUUGUGGUGGGGAACAGAGCAGAUUUCUGU
Long non-coding RNA from Myotis brandtii (Brandt's bat), 777 nucleotides. RefSeq lists it as uncharacterized. The transcript has 3 exons. The record is from RefSeq and is a predicted model, not a curated record. NCBI's taxonomy places the organism in Eukaryota, Metazoa, Chordata, Mammalia, Chiroptera, Vespertilionidae.